This 294-nucleotide unclassified non-coding RNA is filed under the name uncultured fungus. RNAcentral's name for it is "sequence contains ITS1". The record is from RNAcentral. Lineage: Eukaryota; Fungi.
UGGACUACAAGGGUUUCUAAUCCCGUUUGAUACCCAUGCCUUCGUACCUCAGCGUCAGCAUCAAUCCAGAAAGUCGCAUUAACCACUCGGUUAUCCUCUCGAUAUCUAAAGAUUUUACUUUUACUUCAAGAAUAUAACUAACCUAUAUUGACCUCGAGCCUAUUAGUAUCAUAAUCAAUUUCUAAGUUAGGCUUAGCUUCUUUGAUUAAGACUUGAAAGGCCGCCUACGUACCCUUUACGCCCAGUUAUGAUGAAUAACGUUAGUCCCCCCCGUAUUACCGCGGCGGCUGGCAC